GUGCCAGCAGCCGCGGUAAUACGGAGGGAGCUAGCGUUGUUCGGAAUUACUGGGCGUAAAGCGCGCGUAGGCGGUUACUCAAGUCAGAGGUGAAAGCCCGGAGCUCAACUCCGGAACUGCCUUUGAAACUAGGUGACUAGAAUCUUGGAGAGGCAAGUGGAAUUCCGAGUGUAUAGGUGAAAUUCGUAGAUAUUCGGAAGAACACCAGUGGCGAAGGCGACUCGCUGGACAAGUAUUGACGCUGAGGUGCGAAAGCGUGGGGAGCAAACAGGAUUAGAUACUCUGGUAGUCCACGCCGUAAAACGAUGAUAACUAGCUGCUAGGGCCCACAGGGCUUUGGUGGCGCAGCUAACGCAUUAAGUUAUCCCGCCUGGGGGAGUACGGUCGCAAGAUUAAAACUCAAAGGAAUUGACGG
Molecule: ribosomal RNA, 415 nt
Filed under: Sphingorhabdus sp.
Lineage: Bacteria; Pseudomonadati; Pseudomonadota; Alphaproteobacteria; Sphingomonadales; Sphingorhabdaceae
Description: bacterial SSU rRNA
Rfam family: Bacterial small subunit ribosomal RNA
Source: RNAcentral